GUUGAUACAUUUAGCCAUCUUUCGUGGUCGCUAUUUUAUCUAUUUCUUAUAAUUCAUACCAAAAAUACAUAAAAAAUAAUAUAAAUAUAAUAAAAAAUUAAUUUUAUUGUAUUUAUAUUAUUUUUACAGGCAUAAGGAUUGUUGUGCUUGUUGAAAUGACCGGCAUGUCCCGUAUUGGUGUGCGUAAGAGAGACAGAAAAGAGGAUUUUGAAUAAGAAAGAGAAAAGUAAUGAAGGGAGAGGAGGUAGGUGUUGAUGAAAGAGGAUUUUGAAUAGUUUACUUUGGAAUGAGUCAAUUCGGGAUUCAAAGCCGAAUUGGAUUAUAAAUAGAUUUGGCCAUUCCCAUUCUGGAGUGGAAUGAGAAUCGGAAUUCGAUUCCUAUAAAACAAACGGCAAUUAUUGGAAUCAAUGAAUUUCAUUCUGAUUCCAUAAUCUAAAAUGGGUGAACCAAACAUGCCCUAAGUACGAUGAUUCUAUAAUAAAGAGAAUAUAAGAUAUACAAUGCACUUUAGAGUGUAUCAGUAGCAUUAAUUACUCCUCAACUAUAUAUGCCAUAUCUCUAGUAGCUAGCAAACCAAACUUUACUUUAUA
Molecule: long non-coding RNA, 590 nt
Filed under: Ananas comosus (pineapple)
Lineage: Eukaryota; Viridiplantae; Streptophyta; Magnoliopsida; Poales; Bromeliaceae
Description: long non-coding RNA (ACOM_LNC017534)
Source: RNAcentral